UUCAAUACCCAAUAGAUCUAAUACAGUAAGGAAUAACAUAGUUCAUGAUUGGGCUUGGAUUUAUUCAGGAGUCCAUUUAGGCACAGAGCAGAGCAUUUCAUGAGGUUACAUGCUAAGAGACACGAGGAUUUCUAUUGAUGAUGCUGAUGUGGUUAAUCAUUAUAACGACAUCAACUAUUAGGCACUUAAGGCAUCGGGGUAACUCAUACACUGGCAAUAGUAACCAUUAAGGAGGAAUACUCGAGCACACAAACCAUUCGUUUCCUAGAGUGUAGGGGAAAUCCAUUUAUCAAGAAUGAGGAUAUUCUGGCAACUUGAACGUGAUAUGCGUUGCAACACACAUGAAGUUAAAUUACACUUUUAAUGUUAACUGGCACAAGGAAUCUAUGCCACAAGCCCACGAGAAUGAAAAG
RNAcentral lists this long non-coding RNA (413 nucleotides) under Nicotiana benthamiana. RNAcentral describes it as "long non-coding RNA (NBEN_LNC035390)". Lineage: Eukaryota; Viridiplantae; Streptophyta; Magnoliopsida; Solanales; Solanaceae. The record is from RNAcentral.